RNAcentral lists this ribosomal RNA (383 nucleotides) under uncultured eukaryote. RNAcentral describes it as "SSU rRNA". It matches the Rfam family "Eukaryotic small subunit ribosomal RNA", at positions 587 to 972 of the family's 1831-position model. The record is from RNAcentral.
AGCUCCAAUAGCGUAUAUUAAAGUUGUUGCGGUUAAAAAGCUCGUAGUUGGAUCUCAGUUCCGGACCGACGGUUCGCCGCCCGGCGUCUACUGUCGGCUUCCGAACAGCCCGCCGGCUCGCGCGGGGUGCUCUUCAUCGAGUGUCCCGAGUGGCCGGCACGUUUACUUUGAAAAAAUUAGAGUGCUCAAAGCAGGCCCAGCCGCCUGAAUAGUCGUGCAUGGAAUAAUGGAAUAGGACCUCGGUUCUAUUUUGUUGGUUUUCGGAACUCGAGGUAAUGAUUAAUAGGGACAGACGGGGGCAUUCGUAUUGCGACGUUAGAGGUGAAAUUCUUGGAUCGUCGCAAGACGAACUACUGCGAAAGCAUUUGCCAAGAAUGUUUUCA